RNAcentral lists this ribosomal RNA (529 nucleotides) under uncultured bacterium. RNAcentral's name for it is "bacterial SSU rRNA". It matches the Rfam family "Bacterial small subunit ribosomal RNA", at positions 777 to 1302 of the family's 1533-position model. The record is from RNAcentral.
AAUAGAUACCCAGGUAGUCCACGCCGUAAACGAUGAGUGCUAAGUGUUAGAGGGUUUCCGCCCUUUAGUGCUGCAGCUAACGCAUUAAGCACUCCGCCUGGGGAGUACGGUCGCAAGACUGAAACUCAAAGGAAUUGACGGGGGCCCGCACAAGCGGUGGAGCAUGUGGUUUAAUUCGAAGCAACGCGAAGAACCUUACCAGGUCUUGACAUCCUCUGACAACUCUAGAGAUAGAGCGUUCCCCUUCGGGGGACAGAGUGACAGGUGGUGCAUGGUUGUCGUCAGCUCGUGUCGUGAGAUGUUGGGUUAAGUCCCGCAACGAGCGCAACCCUUAUCAAUAGUUGCCAGCGGUUCGGCCGGGCACUCUAUUGAGACUGCCGUUGACAAAACGGAGGAAGGUGGGGAUGACGUCAAGUCCUCAUGGCCUUUAUGUCCAGGGCUACACACGUGCUACAAUGGCAAGUCAAAGCGCUGCAAACCUGCAAAGGGGUAGCCAAUCGCAAAAACGCUUGUCUCAGUUCGGAUUGGU